Molecule: long non-coding RNA, 3920 nt
Filed under: Gallus gallus (chicken)
Lineage: Eukaryota; Metazoa; Chordata; Aves; Galliformes; Phasianidae
Description: lncRNA (ENSGALG00010008826.1)
Source: RNAcentral
CUGAAAAACACUGGGAGGGUUUUGUUGCUAUCAGUUACCAAAGUAUUUCUGUAGCAUGAAAUUGAAGGCAUGUGCUACACAUAUGGAUGUGGCUUUGAGGCAUACAGGAAGCAAAGCUCAGAGCAAGUAGGAACUCGGGAUACCCUGUCACAAAUACAUGUGGUGAAGUCCAGAUAUCAAGUUUCCUUGGACAAUGAACAAUUUUAAUUCAUCUUUCCAAUGGACAUAGAAGAACAGAAAAGAACACAGUACAGCUCCAGUGAACCUCAUCAUUUCUGAGCACCCAGAGUAUUCAGCACAUCAGAAAGAAUAUCACUACAGAACUGUCUACGCUGUCAGCAGUACAAGUUACAGAAUGAAUUACUACUGAAUCUCAAUUUAGGGAUCAGGAGAGGAUGUGCUGAGUAAGUGAAAACACAGAAGCAAAGCGACAUGCCAUGGCUUUGUGGAUAUGUGGAUACAAGCAAUUACAGCUUAAUAGAUGUGGGUAAGCUGGUGAACAGAUAGAGGUUCUGCACUUCUUCAUGGUUUGCCCAAAGAUCAACAUUCUAAAUAUACCUUAUCUAAGACAACAAAUAAUGAAAUUGUCAAGUGAACUUGAACAUCAGAAUAAAUUUGAGAAAUCUCCUUAUAUCAAAAAGAAGCUUCAGAAAAAAAAUAGCAAGACAAGUUGUAGUUAAGUGCUGAAGAAUGAAAGGAUUGCUUUCCAGCAUUUUUAUUCCAGCUUCAGCAUAUUUUAUUUUAUAUAUAUAUAAAUAUAUAUACACACAUAAUUACAUACAUAUAUACACACACACACAUAUAUCUAUGCAGUGUUUUUCCCUCAAGGAAUAAGCCAUCUUAUUUAUGUCAUAGCUGAGAGGUGUGAAUUUCCUUCGCGCUUUAUCCAGCUUCAUAGAUGAAUCCCUGUUGGCAGAUCACACUGCACAGAAGACUGGUGAGUGACAGAGGCCACUGAUUACUAAUGGCCACAUCAGGAGGAAUUGCACUGUGAGGGAAGAUACCCACUUCCUCCUCAUCCCUAAUUUUGGGGUCUUGUUUCUAGAGAGUCCAUUGGAAGGAUUCACAUGGGGGACAGAGAAAUAAAAUACUAUCCACGUUCAUAAAAAGGUGUUUUCCUAAGCAACCACACUUCCCUCCCCCUCUAAACUCAAGGAGUGAGAAUAAAGCCUCCUGACAGGCUAUUCUCUUACUGUGCCAUGUUUCAAAGCCUUAUAAGGAGAAGAAACUGUGGCAUAAUUAAUACAUUGGAUAGCUGAAGACAUUACUGAAUCGUUAAACUGCAGCAUUUAACUGCAGUUAAAGUAUUCUUGGCCCCUAGGUCUUUACCAUUGUAUAAUCAUGAUCAGCUGUUUUAGAUAAACUAUGGAGAAAGUAAGAUAAAUCUUCCCAAAAUUUACAGUGAAGAAUAAAAUUCAGCAUAUAGCUUUCCCCUGCUCAUGGAAUUGAAUCAAUCAAUACUGCAUUAUGCUAUUGCUGGAGUGCAUAGUAGCAAUCACUGUUUGACAGUAAGGGUAUUUUGCACAGCAGUGAAGGUUAUCUAUAUAAUUUGUUUUAAACCUUUGGGUUCCCUAUGUUAGUCCUUUGGGAGAACUGCAGGAAACCUUGCUCUGUACAUUUUCUGUUUGCUGAAAAUUGUAACAUAGUCAUCAGAAAAAGAAAAAGAGAGAAAGAGAGAAAGAGAGAAAGAGAGAAAGAGAGAAAGAAAGAAAGAAAGAAAGAAAGAAAGAAAGAAAGAAAGAAAGAAAGAAAGAAAGAAAGAAAGAAAGAAAGAAAGAAGGAAAGAAAGAAAGAAAGAAAGAAAGAAAGAAAGAAAGAAAGAAAGAAAGAAAGAAAGAAAGAAAGAAAGAAAAGAAAAAAAAAUCAAAAGGAUAACAAAGCUUUGCUAAUAGGAAUGAUCCAUACACCCAGACAGAUGCGUUUUCCUGUGGACAGUGGAAAGAAUGCAGAUGUAAUUGGAACCCAUUGGAACCCAUUUUUGCCCAGGAGAUCUCAGAUGGAAGUCUGGAAGUCCUGACUGAAAAAAAUGAAGUGGAAUUCAGAGCAAUUUUUUGCCACUUCUUUCCAAUUCAGUUUUCAGCACGACUACAAAGGGACUUCUUGCUUCAGGCCAGGCUGGAUGAUUUGUGAAGCCACGGAAGUAAAAAUAAAGUAAAGCUGUCCUUCAAGAAACUGAAUAAACUGUUUUGGUUGAGUGUGUGGUUUUCUAAAUACAUGCAGAAAGAUGUAUACCCCAAACAUGUAUUUAGCAGAAUGGAUUUUGUUAAUGUCAAUAGCUAAAUACCAUAUUGGUUUGUUUUAUCAGCAUGCACAAUACUUACUUUUUAAAUGAUUCCAUCACUGUAUGUGGUUUAUGUAAAGCAAGUAAACUGAGAUUUCAUGUAAUUACAGUAAUUAAAAAGAGAGGUGGACAGGGCAGACUAUUUGUUAUACCAUGUAUGAUAAGAAGAUAGAGGCACCAUUCAAAGAGUUAUGACUUGUUAGUGAGUAGUAGACUCUUGAAAUUGUCAAGAAGUGUUGUUUGAAAAAAACAAAUGAAGAGAAGCAGAUAAAAUCAUCUAUUAUUAACUAAUGUAAGCAUAUGAAUUUCAGCGUGCAGCAUGCUUGCUACCGAUAGUCAUGGUGCAUUGUUACAGUGAAUUAAUAACAUUGUCACAAUGGAUAAUAUCACAUUUUCUGGCUAUACAAGUGAAAGGAAAACUAUCAGAAUUUCACAAUAACAGAGAAGCUUUGAAAUUAAAAUAAUAAUAAUAAAAGCCUACAAACUCACCACCAUUAAGUUACAUUCUUGAGUGGUGGGCAGUAUAACCUUGGCCUACUAUAGUAAAUGAAAGAGCACCAACCUGUUUGUAGGAGAUACGUGUUUUGCAUGCAUAUCUUAGUUGAUUUUAAUCUUUCUGAUUGAAUUUAGGGUGAAUAUUAAAAGCAAACUCAUAAUUUUUUGCACUUGAUAUUUCCAGUGGAAGGAGCACUGCCUAGUACAAUAUCUUCUAAUAAAAUAAAAUAAAAAUUCAUAAUUAUAAAUAAAAUAAAAAUUCAUAGUUGACUUCAGCUUCUCAACAGUGUCUAUGAAAUUUACUCCUAUUUGGUUUGUCUUUCUUCAUCACUGCCAAAAUAGAUCCUUUGUAUCUGUAUCUACAAUAAUGUACACCAUCUCCCUCAUAGGUACUGAACAUCCUAGACACCUCCAAAUCAAUCAUAAAUUAGUGAGGCAAAGUUAGUUAAUUUAAGUGAGUUUAAGCAAUGAUAACUUAAUGGAGGGACUUGUAAACCACAGCAGAAAUGUAAUGUUUAUGGAUUUUUUACAUAAAUGGAAGAAAAACAGGAUUUUUCAAUUUCUUCUGGGAAAAAAAAAACAGCAACAACAACCAUGAAGUGAAAAUGAGAACAUGGGAAGGGAGCAGUGCAGUGCUGAUUUGUCCUCUCACAGCCACAGCACUUAUUUAGAUGCAUCAAGACUCACACGUAUUGCACAUUACAUGCGCUUCUGUCGCUUGCUGAGUAAAAUGCAGUGAUUGUCGAUAUUAGUAUUUCAACCUGUCUAAUGGCAAACCCCAAAAAAACCAAAACUCUGGAUGAAGGAAGAGUGUUAAACAAAAAAUGGUCAGAUUAGUAAUUUUUUUUUCAAGACAAAUAAUAUGGCACUCUGCUUAAUUUGCAAGGAAAUGAUGUCAGAUUUCAAACAAUACCAUUUGAAAAGAUAUUAAGUGCAGAAACAUGCUGACAAAUUCAAUGAAUAUCAAAGAAUGCCUCAUAAAGACAAAACAGUGGAACUGAAAACAAAGUCUAUCACCUCAACGCAAGCUUUUUUAAAAAGUUAAAUGGACUGUUGUAAAAGCUAGUGACAUGGUAACAAAUCUGAUGGCAAAAAAUCAAAACCAUUUACUGAUGGUGAGUUUAUUAAGCAGUGAAAGAAAAGC